This 2016-nucleotide long non-coding RNA is filed under the name Cottoperca gobio. RNAcentral's name for it is "lncRNA (ENSCGOG00000010055.1)". The record is from RNAcentral. Lineage: Eukaryota; Metazoa; Chordata; Actinopteri; Perciformes; Bovichtidae.
CUACAGUGAAGCACACCUCACUGACUAAACACAGUGAUGCCUUGUAGCCCGAGAGCCGACGUCUCAGACAGACAACUCGUUUUGUUCUAGACGGCUGGAAUAUGUCAGAUUAUGAUCCCAAUUAUGUGAUACCUCUGGUGCUGUUAACUCUGGCCUGCGUCAUCUCUUUCUGUCUCAAUGUCAUCUUCUGCAUGAGACAAAGAGCCACAUUGUGCAGAGACAGAGACGAGUGCUGCUUCACACACAUGUUUACAGGAGAAAGCCCGUCACAGGAUAGCGAGCAUCAUCACAAUGAGCAGCAGGAAAAUCCAAUCUACGGCAACAUCAGCUCAGACAGAAGAGAUUCUGCAGAGGUUUGCUAUGAGAUGAUGAGCAUGCGACACACAAGAGAUCGUAUGGAGUCUCCCGAGCCUGACCUGAAUUAUGCCUCGCUGGAUCUACAGAACGCAAAGAAACGCAUGAAGAAGAAUCGCCAUAAGCAAGGCCAAGCUCUGGGAGGAAGCCCACUUAAAGAGGAGCUGCCGGUCCACUUCACACCCCCAGUGAAUGCUUUCUUGGAGGUGGAAGCAGACAUGGAUGCUCACCUUCCUUCCAGAGACACCAGCACGAUGGUUUCACACAGUAGCAUCUACCUGAACAGUCAACAGAUCGCCCAAGAGACAGAGGAGAUGGCGAGAGAAAGGGGUGUAAACAUGGAGAGGGAGAAUGUGGGUUAUGAGGGAAUAAGAAGGAGGGAGGAUGGGCAAAGUAGAGAGUGGAAAAGAGAGUAUGAGGGAAGAAAAGAUAGACAAGAUAUUAAUGGGGGUGUAUGCACACAGCUUCCAGAAGUAGAGGCUAUUCAGAGUGGCAUAGCUCAUUUUUUUCAGCCAUGAUACUGACCCACAAGAUUAGGCAGACCUCACAUUACGAUUUUUGUUCAGAACUGAAUGAGCCACCUGAAAAAGAAAAUAAAUUGACUGUCCAUUACUGUGUCUGCAAGAAUGAAAACUGUGUGACCUUCAAUAUUCAACAAGCUUUGCGCAAUUUCCUAUUUGAUGCUAAAAAAAACUACUGCUUGAACUCUGCACAUUGAGCAACCGAGGAACACAAGGUGUACCUUUCUGUGCAGAGGAUGGAAUAAACGUAGAGGAGAAAAGGGAAACUGUGUGUGACAUUUAGAGGUCAAGGGCCACGUGGAAACUUUCAAUUUGUUGCGAAAGACAAUGAAAACACCAAAUCAUCACAGGACAUGGAAGAUCUUUCACUGUUUUGAUGUCUCAUAAUCAGAUGUCUCAUAGAAAGGUGAAGGGGGAAUAAUAAUGUGUUUUCCACGCUGUAGGCGAUGGCCAAGCCUAUAUACUUUCUUGAAUAACUUUGAACUUCUUGCCUGUGGAAACGUGAAUCUGCUUUUCUGUCAUGUUGUAUUGUAGGAAAUGUCACCAACAGAGUUAAAGUUACAAUAAUGGUCAUUAGCUUUAUAAUCUAUUGCACUCAUGAGCUAAUGCGCCAUCUACUUAAAUUAUGAUUUCCCUCUCUGUAAUCCCCUUUUUGGGAAGGAUAAUUUACUGCACUGCUUUCUGCCGAGUGAGCUGAGCUCUGAAGUGAACUCAGCAGUCAGAGGUCUGCACAACGCUUACUGUUUGUUGACAGCUUUUCAAAAACUUCCCAUGGCCUCCUUCCCCUCUAUGGAUUUAUUUUUGGCCUCAACUAUUUCAGACAUACAGGGAAGGAACAUAAAAAGACAAAUAACAAAGCACUAAUUUAACUGUCAUAUAGUGCUGAGACAUAUUUGCCUUUUGCUUCCUUAGAGACUGGCACUUUACCUAUGUUACAUUAAAGAUGUGAUUAGUAGAAUUUCAUCGUGAGUAAAUUAAUAUCAGCUACAUUUUGAAACAUAGGUAUAAGUACCAGAUUGUGAUCGACACCAUUGCAUCAGUCUCUAAAUCACAUUGUCUUAAUGCACAGAUGACAUUUGACAGGAAAUGAGGGGAGGGCGGGGGAAUGACAUGUGAUAAAAGUUUUCAGCCAAACCAAAAA